Molecule: ribosomal RNA, 436 nt
Filed under: uncultured bacterium
Lineage: Bacteria
Description: bacterial SSU rRNA
Rfam family: Bacterial small subunit ribosomal RNA
Source: RNAcentral
UAACGCGAAGAACCUUACCUGGGUUUGACAUGCACAGGACGUGCCUAGAGAUAGGUAUUCCCUUGUGGCCUGUGUGCAGGUGGUGCAUGGCUGUCGUCAGCUCGUGUCGUGAGAUGUUGGGUUAAGUCCCGCAACGAGCGCAACCCUUGUCUCAUGUUGCCAGCACGUUAUGGUGGGGACUCGUGAGAGACUGCCGGGGUCAACUCGGAGGAAGGUGGGGAUGACGUCAAGUCAUCAUGCCCCUUAUGUCCAGGGCUUCACGCAUGCUACAAUGGCCGGUACAAAGGGCUGCGAUCCCGUGAGGGGGAGCGAAUCCCAAAAAGCCGGUCUCAGUUCGGAUUGGGGUCUGCAACUCGACCCCAUGAAGUCGGAGUCGCUAGUAAUCGCAGAUCAGCAACGCUGCGGUGAAUACGUUCCCGGGUCUUGUACACACCGA